GCCGGAAUGGCUGUUCAACUUCGCCGGAAUACGCACCAAGGUCGGGGUCGCGAGUUCGAGUCUCGUUUCCCGCUCCA
This 77-nucleotide transfer RNA is filed under the name Aeromonas caviae. RNAcentral describes it as "tRNA-OTHER". The record is from RNAcentral. Lineage: Bacteria; Pseudomonadati; Pseudomonadota; Gammaproteobacteria; Aeromonadales; Aeromonadaceae.